UUCCUAGUGAGAGAGAGACUCUGGGACAGGUGAGUGAGGAGUAACUUCCUUCCCUGCACCUUAUCCUGGAGUACAAGCAAAUCCAUCACACCAAUAAGCUAUCAAAUGGCUGAAGUGGAGGCAGGCAUCAAGCCCGGGACAGAGACAACAUGCAGCAUCACUAGGGAGAGGAGAGAAGGAAUCAUUGCAUCUUGUGUCUCUGUUUUCCAAACGGUGUGGACGGUCUAUCCCAAAGUGAACUGAUACCUUUUGAGAAGGUGACGACCCAGUCCCAACAUCUGAUAGUUAAGAACUGGGGUAGACGUACUUGAGGAUAAUCCGGAAUGGAACGGGUGUUGGUGUCACCUUGCAAGGAGUAACGAGGCUGGUGGAAGCCAAGGUGAGACUUUUAUGCUCGUAGGCUGGCUACUGGUGUCAGGGCUCUGAGCCAUAGCAACACAGCAUUAAGGCACCCAAGGGUUCAGGGCAGGUGGUGACU
This is a long non-coding RNA of Mauremys mutica (yellowpond turtle), 478 nucleotides long. RefSeq lists it as uncharacterized. The record is from RefSeq and is a predicted model, not a curated record. The transcript is spliced from 3 exons. Lineage: Eukaryota; Metazoa; Chordata; Testudines; Geoemydidae.